Non-coding RNA from Podarcis lilfordi (Lilford's wall lizard), 83 nucleotides. The record is from the annotation of a GenBank genome assembly. NCBI's taxonomy places the organism in Eukaryota, Metazoa, Chordata, Lepidosauria, Squamata, Lacertidae.
ACAGUGGCUGCUUCUGCUGCUCAGUGGUAGGGCAUUUGCCUUGCAUAUAGGAGUUCCAAGGUUCAAUCCCUGGCAUCACUGUG